UGUGGGGAAUUUCUUCGAAUGGGCGAAAGCCUGACGGAGCAAUACCGCGUGAGGGAGGAAGGCUCUUGGGUUGUAAACCUCAAAACUUAGGGAAGAAAAAAAUGACGGUACGUAAUGUAAGCAUCGGCUAACUCCGUGCCAGCAGCCGCGGUAAUACGGAGGAUGCAAGCGUUAUCCGGAAUCAUUGGGCGUAAAGAGUCCGUAGGUGGCACUUCAAGUCUGCUGUCAAAGACCGAAGCUCAACUUCGGAAAGGCAGUGGAAACUGAAGAGCUAGAGUAUAGUAGGGGUAGAGGGAAUUCCUAGUGUAGCGGUGAAAUGCGUAGAGAUUAGGAAGAACACCAGUGGCGAAGGCGCUCUACUGGGCAAUACUGACACUGAGGACGAAGUAGGGGCC
Molecule: ribosomal RNA, 395 nt
Filed under: Synechocystis sp. Djaks_3
Lineage: Bacteria; Bacillati; Cyanobacteriota; Cyanophyceae; Synechococcales; Merismopediaceae
Description: bacterial SSU rRNA
Rfam family: Bacterial small subunit ribosomal RNA
Source: RNAcentral